GCAUAUAUAUAUAUAUAUAUAUAUAUAUAUAUAUAUAUAUAUAUAUACCUGGUUGGUUAUCUCUCGAAUUGAGGAAGACAAUUGUCUUUGUGCGUUUUUGUGCACAAAGACAUCUGUGCUUGUAGAUUUAAGUGGAAAAGCCGAUGCACAGAGACAGUCCCACUCUCUCAGCAUUGGAAGCCUGGGUCCAGUGGCAGGAAAAGUCAUUACACUUGGAGACUUCCUCAGCUGCAUUGGAUGGCCAUGUUGUCUUUUGUGCUCCAACACGCCCUAAGCACUCCACAAUGCCUUGCUGCGUCGCCAUCUCAGCCGUUGAACCUUCUUGUUGGUUUCUUCAGCCUGUUCCGCUGAAACAGUCUUCACAUGCUGGGACUCCUCAUUCCCUGCCUGAGCUCCAGAAAGGAAGAAAGGAAAUGGAAUGCCAGCUGAAGAUAAUGAGAAGGUCACACACAGAGCAGAUGGAGAUCAAUCUGUAGAACACAGAGUGGAACACAAGUGAUCAGGCAGUAAUGCAGUCAGGUUCCCAAGAAUGUUUUUCAAGAGAACAAGGGGUGAAAAGGACUUUGUCUUGGAAACAAGUGGGAGGGAUGGUUUCCUUCCCUGAAACUCUUGUCCUAAUUCUUCUAUGGGAUUCUCAAGAGAUACAAAUCAUGGAAUAUCAUAGGCUCUGAAGAAUAAAAAUGGCGGGGAAUUCA
RNAcentral lists this long non-coding RNA (695 nucleotides) under Monodelphis domestica (gray short-tailed opossum). Its description in RNAcentral is "lncRNA (ENSMODG00000031590.2)". Lineage: Eukaryota; Metazoa; Chordata; Mammalia; Didelphimorphia; Didelphidae. The record is from RNAcentral.